Molecule: unclassified non-coding RNA, 242 nt
Filed under: uncultured fungus
Lineage: Eukaryota; Fungi
Description: partial contains small subunit ribosomal RNA, internal transcribed spacer 1, and 5.8S ribosomal RNA
Rfam family: Eukaryotic small subunit ribosomal RNA (bases 1-73)
Source: RNAcentral
GCAAACUUGGUCAUUUAGAGGAAGUAAAAGUCGUAACAAGGUCUCCGUAGGUGAACCUGCGGAGGGAUCAUUACUGAACGGUCGUCUGACCAUUCAAACCCUUCAAACCCUGUGGAGGUCAAUCGUGGUUCGGCGCUUCGGCGCCGCUUUCAUGCUCGAGAUUGAGUUUUUGCUGAACAAUAUUAAUUCAUAAAACUUUCAACAAAGGAUCUCUUGGCUCUCGCAUCGAUGAAGAACGCAGC